RNAcentral lists this ribosomal RNA (900 nucleotides) under uncultured bacterium. RNAcentral describes it as "bacterial SSU rRNA". It matches the Rfam family "Bacterial small subunit ribosomal RNA", at positions 16 to 916 of the family's 1533-position model. The record is from RNAcentral.
AUCAUGGCUCAGGAUGAACGCUGGCGGCGUGCCUAACACAUGCAAGUCGAACGGAACUUCUUUGACAGAAUUCUUCGGAAGGAAGUUGAUUAAGUUUAGUGGCGGACGGGUGAGUAACGCGUGAGUAACCUGCCUUUGAGAGGGGAAUAACUUCCCGAAAGGGAUGCUAAUACCGCAUGAUGCAUAUUUAUCGCAUGGUAGAUGUGCCAAAGAUUUAUCGCUCAAAGAUGGACUCGCGUCCGAUUAGCCAGUUGGCGGGGUAACGGCCCACCAAAGCGACGAUCGGUAGCCGGACUGAGAGGUUGAACGGCCACAUUGGGACUGAGACACGGCCCAGACUCCUACGGGAGGCAGCAGUGGGGGAUAUUGCGCAAUGGGGGAAACCCUGACGCAGCAACGCCGCGUGAAGGAUGAAGGUUUUCGGAUUGUAAACUUCUUUUAUUUAGGACGAACAAUGACGGUACUAAAUGAAUAAGCUCCGGCUAACUACGUGCCAGCAGCCGCGGUAAUACGUAGGGAGCAAGCGUUAUCCGGAUUUACUGGGUGUAAAGGGUGCGUAGGCGGCUUGGUAAGUCAGAUGUGAAAUGUAUGGGCUCAACCCAUGCACUGCAUUUGAAACUAUUGAGCUUGAGUGAAGUAGAGGUAGGCGGAAUUCCCUGUGUAGCGGUGAAAUGCGUAGAGAUAGGGAGGAACACCAGUGGCGAAGGCGGCCUACUGGGCUUUAACUGACGCUGAGGCACGAAAGCGUGGGUAGCAAACAGGAUUAGAUACCCUGGUAGUCCACACUGUAAACGAUGAUUACUAGGUGUGGGGGUCUGACCCCUUCCGUGCCGGAGUAACACAAUAAGUAAUCCACCUGGGGAGUACGACCGCAGGGUUGCAACUCAAAGGAAUUGACGG